UACGGAGGGAGUUAGCGUUGUUCGGAAUUACCGGGCGUAAAGCGCGCGUAGGUGGCUAUUCAAGUCAGAGGUGAAAGUCCGGGGCUCAACUCCGGAACUGCCUUUGAAACUAGAUAGCUAGAAUCUUGGAGAGGUCAGUGGAAUUCCGAGUGUAGAGGUGAAAUUCGUAGAUAUUCGGAAGAACACCAGUGGCGAAGGCGACUGACUGGACAAGUAUUGACGCUGAGGUGCGAAAGCGUGGGGAGCAAAC
Molecule: ribosomal RNA, 250 nt
Filed under: uncultured bacterium
Lineage: Bacteria
Description: partial 16S ribosomal RNA
Rfam family: Bacterial small subunit ribosomal RNA
Source: RNAcentral